AGCGGAAUAAGCAAUCCAUUAGAAGAGUCAAGUAGAGCAUGAUAUCUACUAGCUUCUAUGAUUUAAAAAGGGUUUUCAUCAACUUUAUCGCUGAGACUCAGCUUAAUAAAUAAACCACAUCAUCGAAUCAUCCCUGCACUACGGGCCAAUGAUAUUCAUGUAAUCAUCAAUGGUCAUGAUUAUACCGAAUAAUCCCUGGUCAUAAUCAUACCAAUCAACAGUCCAUCUAUGCACAUAAACUAAAGAUGACUUUCAUCACAAUAUAAGCAUGAUGAUGAUGACAAUGAUAUAAGCAUUCAAUUAAAUGAAAGCAAAUGAUAAAUUUUAAAGAUUCAUAAUUUAAUUUAUCCAGUAUUCAAUAAUGUCCAAAUUGUUAACAUGAUACUGCUUUGUGGAGUAAAAUUCAUGAAUAAUAU
This 416-nucleotide long non-coding RNA is filed under the name Panax ginseng (ginseng). RNAcentral describes it as "long non-coding RNA (PGIN_LNC018219)". The record is from RNAcentral. Lineage: Eukaryota; Viridiplantae; Streptophyta; Magnoliopsida; Apiales; Araliaceae.